This 253-nucleotide ribosomal RNA is filed under the name uncultured bacterium. RNAcentral's name for it is "partial 16S ribosomal RNA". It matches the Rfam family "Bacterial small subunit ribosomal RNA", at positions 524 to 776 of the family's 1533-position model. The record is from RNAcentral.
UACGUAGGGGGCAAGCGUUGUCCGGAUUUAUUGGGCGUAAAGAGCGUGUAGGCGGCUUUGCAAGUCCGUUGUGAAAACUCGAGGCUCAACCUCGAGACGCCGGUGGAAACUGCAAAGCUAGAGUCCGGAAGAGGAGUGUGGAAUUCCUGGUGUAGCGGUGAAAUGCGCAGAUAUCAGGAAGAACACCCGUGGCGAAGGCGGCUCACUGGCCCGAUACUGACGCUGAGGCACGAAAGCGUGGGGAGCAAACAGG